This 593-nucleotide ribosomal RNA is filed under the name Lactiplantibacillus plantarum. RNAcentral describes it as "bacterial SSU rRNA". It matches the Rfam family "Bacterial small subunit ribosomal RNA", at positions 44 to 595 of the family's 1533-position model. Lineage: Bacteria; Bacillati; Bacillota; Bacilli; Lactobacillales; Lactobacillaceae. The record is from RNAcentral.
UUGCCUAGCGCAUGCUACACUGCAGUCGUACGAACUCUGGUAUUGAUUGGUGCUUGCAUCAUGAUUUACAUUUGAGUGAGUGGCGAACUGGUGAGUAACACGUGGGAAACCUGCCCAGAAACGGGGGAUAACACCUGGAAACAGAUGCUAAUACCGCAUAACAACUUGGACCGCAUGGUCCGAGUUUGAAAGAUGGCUUCGGCUAUCACUUUUGGAUGGUCCCGCGGCGUAUUAGCUAGAUGGUGGGGUAACGGCUCACCAUGGCAAUGAUACGUAGCCGACCUGAGAGGGUAAUCGGCCACAUUGGGACUGAGACACGGCCCAAACUCCUACGGGAGGCAGCAGUAGGGAAUCUUCCACAAUGGACGAAAGUCUGAUGGAGCAACGCCGCGUGAGUGAAGAAGGGUUUCGGCUCGUAAAACUCUGUUGUUAAAGAAGAACAUAUCUGAUAGUAACUGUUCAGGUAUUGACGGUAUUUAACCAGAAAGCCACGGCUAACUACGUGCCAGCAUCCGCGGUAAUACGUAGGUGGCAAGCGUUGUCCGGAUUUAAUGAGCCUAAAGCGAGCGCAGCGUGUUUUGUAACUCCGAAGU